Paramormyrops kingsleyae is the source of this 654-nucleotide long non-coding RNA. RefSeq lists it as uncharacterized. The record is from RefSeq and is a predicted model, not a curated record. Lineage: Eukaryota; Metazoa; Chordata; Actinopteri; Osteoglossiformes; Mormyridae.
UUCUGUGCUGGAUGCGCUAGUCGUGUGGAUCCGAAACAUUCCAGUGCGCUUGGAAGUACUGCGAUAUCUGUCCGUCUGUCCAUCCAUCCAUCAUCCUGCUGCUUAUCCUGAGCCGGAUCAAUUGGCUCCAAUUGACUACCUGGGUGGUCUGUGAUGGAAUAAUGAUGUUUUUCAGCUGGGACCAUGCUAACGCCCGAACAAAGCUUCAGGAUGGAGAUGAUGUUUGGGAGACAUGAGAAUGAAGACCAACUUCAGAGGGCCUGAAGACUGAAAAAAGAACAAGAGUGGAUGGCUCCUGUAAGGCAGGAGAUAUCUGCUGUGAGGAUUACACCGUGCCCGCUUCAAAAGGGUCUCUACAAAGAUCUGGUGUGCUUGACUUUUUCCUCUCUCCGCCUGAAGUGUUCUCCUGCCAAGCAAAUUUACAGCCAGCCCUCAGGGGGCUUGGAAACGAGGAAGGUUCCAGAUGCUAUCCCGUUUACUCCUUAGACCCUCUGCAGCCUUUGACGCACGUACUGCAUGGCAUUCCUUAGUGCGGCACAUGUGAACUUUGACAGAAUUCCCGCUCUGAAGGCGGGGCUCGUUUAAAUGCUUGUCUGUGUAAAAAAUGUUUUUGUUGGUGGUGUUAAAGCAUUAAAAACAUUAUUUUUGGGUGAA